UGGGGAAUUUUGGACAAUGGGCGAAAGCCUGAUCCAGCAAUGCCGCGUGUGUGAAGAAGGCCUUCGGGUUGUAAAGCACUUUUGUCCGGAAAGAAAUCCUUGGCUCUAAUACAGUCGGGGGAUGACGGUACCGGAAGAAUAAGCACCGGCUAACUACGUGCCAGCAGCCGCGGUAAUACGUAGGGUGCAAGCGUUAAUCGGAAUUACUGGGCGUAAAGCGUGCGCAGGCGGUUUGCUAAGACCGAUGUGAAAUCCCCGGGCUCAACCUGGGAACUGCAUUGGUGACUGGCAGGCUAGAGUAUGGCAGAGGGGGGUAGAAUUCCACGUGUAGCAGUGAAAUGCGUAGAGAUGUGGAGGAAUACCGAUGGCGAAGGCAGCCCCCUGGGCCAAUACUGACGCUCAUGCACGAAAGCGUAGGGAGCAAACAGGAUUAGAUACCCUGGUAGUCCACGCCCUAAACGAUGUCAACUAGUUGUGGGGAUUCAUUUCCUUAGUAACGUAGCUAACGCGUGAAGUUGACCGCCUGGGGAGUACGGUCGCAAGAUUAAAACUCAAAGGAAUUGACGGGGUCAUAGCUGUUUCCU
This 584-nucleotide ribosomal RNA is filed under the name uncultured bacterium. RNAcentral's name for it is "partial 16S ribosomal RNA". It matches the Rfam family "Bacterial small subunit ribosomal RNA", at positions 355 to 1375 of the family's 1533-position model. The record is from RNAcentral.